UACGUAGGCGGCAAGCGUUGUCCGGAAUUAUUGGGCGUAAAGGGAGCGCAGGCGGGAAACUAAGCGGAUCUUAAAAGUGCGGGGCUCAACCCCGUGAGGGGGUCCGAACUGGUUUUCUUGAGUGCAGGAGAGGAAAGCGGAAUUCCCAGUGUAGCGGUGAAAUGCGUAGAUAUUGGGAAGAACACCAGUGGCGAAGGCGGCUUUCUGGACUGUAACUGACGCUGAGGCUCGAAAGCUAGGGUAGCGAACGGG
This 252-nucleotide ribosomal RNA is filed under the name Megamonas funiformis YIT 11815. RNAcentral's name for it is "partial 16S ribosomal RNA". It matches the Rfam family "Bacterial small subunit ribosomal RNA", at positions 524 to 776 of the family's 1533-position model. Lineage: Bacteria; Bacillati; Bacillota; Negativicutes; Selenomonadales; Selenomonadaceae. RNAcentral also lists the same sequence under 1 other name. The record is from RNAcentral.